GCGUUAUCCGGAUUUAUUGGGUUUAAAGGGAGCGUAGGCGGCCCGUUAAGUCAGGGGUGAAAGACGGUGGCUCAACCAUCGCAGUGCCUUUGAUACUGACGGGCUUGAAUGUAGUUGAGGUGGGCGGAAUGUGACAAGUAGCGGUGAAAUGCAUAGAUAUGUCACAGAACACCGAUUGCGAAGGCAGCUCACUAAGCUAUGAUUGACGCUGAGGCUCGAAAGCGUG
This 226-nucleotide ribosomal RNA is filed under the name uncultured bacterium. RNAcentral's name for it is "partial 16S ribosomal RNA". It matches the Rfam family "Bacterial small subunit ribosomal RNA", at positions 538 to 763 of the family's 1533-position model. The record is from RNAcentral.